ACCCAUCCCGGGAUAUUUAGGGUUUCGAUUUAAUUUUGAGGUUCGGGGCUUAAUUCGUAUUUGUUAGAUUCUAUGAGGGGCCUUGGUGUGAUUUACAUGGAGAAUUGUUAUUGGUUUGGAGUAUAAGUUGAGAGGAGAGGUGACCACAUGGGAUUUCUUCCUAAGUGUCUAAAUAGCCAUCAGGAGGAUAUUUCCUCAUUCUCCCCAAUUCUGCCGACAUAGCGAGAGAGAGAGGGGGAGAGAAAGGGUGGAGGAGGUCACGGCUAAGGGGAGGGAGGAAGGAGAGAUCCGUUUUCGGUGAUCCAACUCGGUAACGAGUAACAAGCCGGUCUUUUAGGAGGUGCCAAAACCAUAAGUUUGGCAUACUCCAGUCGAAUGAAAGGUAGCAGGUGGCUUAGAGUGGGUCCACUACUGGUCAACGCUUUGGAGAGUGCUGAGACUAGCGUCAGGUGAUGCCUUUGGUUAGAUUGUUGCGUAGCUGAUUCGUCUAGAAGCUAACCUAAAUGUUAUGUAAUUAAUUGGAGAUAGGGAUAUUUAUUAUAACUUGUGAGUUGAGGUUUUGGCGUUGACUUGGUUGUAUUUUAAGUGAGAAGUCUUCCGCUAA
Rhododendron vialii is the source of this 604-nucleotide long non-coding RNA. RefSeq lists it as uncharacterized. Lineage: Eukaryota; Viridiplantae; Streptophyta; Magnoliopsida; Ericales; Ericaceae. The record is from RefSeq and is a predicted model, not a curated record. The transcript has 3 exons.